AUUGAACGCUGGCGGCAUGCCUUACACAUGCAAGUCGAACGGUAACAGGUCUUCGGAUGCUGACGAGUGGCGAACGGGUGAGUAAUACACCGGAACGUGCCGAGUAGUGGGGGAUACCUACUCGAAAUAGUGGCUAAUACGGCAUGAGAUCUACGGAUGAAAGCAGGGAAUCGCAAGAACUGGUGCUACCAGAGGGGGCGAUUGCAGAUUAGGUCGUUGGUGGGAUAAAAGCUUACCAAGCCGCCGAUCUGUAGCUGGUCUGAGAGGACGAACAGCCAAACUGGGACGGAGAAACGGCCCAGACUGCUACGGGAGGCAGCAGUGGGGAAUUUUGGACAAUGGGCGCAAGCCUGAUCCAGCAAUGCCGCGUGCAGGAUGAAGGCCUUCGGAUUGUAAACUGCUUUUGUACGGAACGAAAAGCCCCGGGUUAAUACCCUGGGGUCAUGACGGUACCGUAAGAAUAAGCACCGGCUAACUACGUGCCAGCCGCCGCAGUAA
This 498-nucleotide ribosomal RNA is filed under the name uncultured bacterium. RNAcentral describes it as "partial 16S ribosomal RNA". It matches the Rfam family "Bacterial small subunit ribosomal RNA", at positions 30 to 523 of the family's 1533-position model. The record is from RNAcentral.